AACAAGGGGUGCUGUCAGACGGCUGAGAGGACUUGCUCCAACCCAUGAACCUGAUCCGGGUAAUGCCGGCGUAGGAAUCAAAAU
This 84-nucleotide non-coding RNA is filed under the name chicken gut metagenome. The record is from RNAcentral.